AUCCUGUACUGUCGAGAAAAGCUUCGUGAGCGAGGUGGCUGGUCCGCCCGUACCCUAAACCGACACUGGUGGAUAGGUAGAGUAUACCGAGGUGAUCGAGAUCAUCAUGGUGAAGGAACUCGGCAAAAUGCCCCCGUAACUUCGGGAUAAGGGGGACCUGAACUGUUAAGGCCUGUACGGCUGGUAGCAGUGAGGGGCGCAGAGACCAGGGGGAAACGACUGUUUACCAAAAACACAGGUCCGUGCGAAGUCGUAAGACGAUGUAUACGGACUGACUCCUGCCCGGUGCUGGAAGGUUAAGGGGAACUGUUAGCGUUGGCGAAGCGGUGAACUUAAGCCCCAGUAAACGGCGGUGGUAACUAUAACCAUCCUAAGGUAGCGAAAUUCCUUGUCGGGUAAGUUCCGAACUGCACGAAUGGAGUAACGAUUUCCCUACUGUCUCCACCAUGAACUCGGUGAAAUUGCAGUACGAGUAAAGAUGCUCGUUACGCGCAGCAGGACGGAAAGACCCCGGGACCUUUACUAUAGUUUGGUAUUGGUGAUUGGGACGACUUGUGUAGGAUAGGUGGGAGACUGUGAAGUGGCCACGCUAGUGGUUGUGGAGUCAUUGUUGAAAUACCACUCUGCUCGUUCUGGAUAUCUAACUUUCGGCCGUGCUCCGGUUCAGGAACAGGGCCUGAUGGGUCGUUUGCUUGGGGAGUUAGCCUCCUAAAAAGUAAAGGAGGCGACCAAAGGUUCCCUCAUCCUGGGUGGUAAUCAGGUGUUGAGUGU
This 771-nucleotide ribosomal RNA is filed under the name Cutibacterium avidum. RNAcentral describes it as "bacterial LSU rRNA". It matches the Rfam family "Bacterial large subunit ribosomal RNA", at positions 1597 to 2352 of the family's 2925-position model. The record is from RNAcentral. Lineage: Bacteria; Bacillati; Actinomycetota; Actinomycetes; Propionibacteriales; Propionibacteriaceae.